ACCGCACCAUGCUCUAUCCAUC
RNAcentral lists this microRNA (22 nucleotides) under Pristionchus pacificus. RNAcentral describes it as "ppc-miR-8286a-5p". The record is from miRBase by way of RNAcentral. Lineage: Eukaryota; Metazoa; Nematoda; Chromadorea; Rhabditida; Neodiplogasteridae.